CCAGUAGUCAUAUGCUUGUCUCAAAGAUUAAGCCAUGCAUGUCUCAGUACAAGCCAAAUUAAGGUGAAACCGCGAAAGGCUCAUUAAAUCAGUUAUGGUUCCUUAGAUCGUACCCACAUUUACUUGGAUAACUGUGGUAAUUCUAGAGCUAAUACAUGCAAACAGAGCUCCGACCGGAGACGGAAGGAGCGCUUUUAUUAGAUCAAAACCAAUCGGUGGCGGGUCUCCCGUCACCGUACACGUUGGUGACUCUGAAUAACUUAUUGCUGAUCGCACGGUCUCGCACCGGCGACGCAUCUUUCAAAUGUCUGCCUUAUCAACUGUCGAUGGUAGGUUCUGCGCCUACCAUGGUUGUAACGGGUAACGGGGAAUCAGGGUUCGAUUCCGGAGAGGGAGCCUGAGAAACGGCUACCACAUCCAAGGAAGGCAGCAGGCGCGCAAAUUACCCACUCCCGGCACGGGGAGGUAGUGACGAAAAAUAACGAUACGGGACUCAUCCGAGGCCCCGUAAUCGGAAUGAGUACACUCUAAAUCCUUUAACGAGGAUCAAUUGGAGGGCAAGUCUGGUGCCAGCAGCCGCGGUAAUUCCAGCUCCAAUAGCGUAUAUUAAAGUUGUUGCGGUUAAAAAGCUCGUAGUCGAAUUUGUGUCCCGCGCCGCUGGUUCAUCGCUCGCGGUGUCAACUGGCGUGUCCGCGGGACGUCCUGCCGGUGGGCUUAGCCCCCCGUGGGCGGCCCAAUCUCAAUCCCACCGCGGUGCUCUUCAUUGAGUGUCGAGGUGGGCCGGCACGUUUACUUUGAACAAAUUAGAGUGCUUAAAGCAGGCUAAAACAUCGCCUGAAUACUGUGUGCAUGGAAUAAUGGAAUAGGACCUCGGUUCUAUUUUGUUGGUUUUCGGAACCCCGAGGUAAUGAUUAAUAGGAACGGAUGGGGGCAUUCGUAUUGCGACGUUAGA
RNAcentral lists this ribosomal RNA (952 nucleotides) under Cephalodesmius armiger. Its description in RNAcentral is "SSU rRNA". It matches the Rfam family "Eukaryotic small subunit ribosomal RNA", at positions 17 to 909 of the family's 1831-position model. The record is from RNAcentral. Lineage: Eukaryota; Metazoa; Arthropoda; Insecta; Coleoptera; Scarabaeidae.